UCUAAGUUUCCGAUUCGGUUUCGAUUUCCCUUUGAAAGCUCUGCUUUUUGUAACGCUUUGCUUAUCAUCGAAGCUGUUGCUUCUGUUGCUUCGACACAAGCAGAUGGGCAAAGAAAAAAGAGGCUUAGGCUCGGUGGCUGUCUUUUGUUGUUGCUGCUGUUUGUGCGUGACAUAUUUGUGUGAGCAUUUGACUCUCCUCUUUGCUCGUUUGGGGGUAUGGAAAAUUGCCUAUCAAGAGUGGAAGAGGGUGCUUUGGGCUUAUCAUUCUUAAGGAUCGAUGAGGUAGGCAUACAAAUGGAGUAGGUUUACUCUGCAA
Drosophila elegans is the source of this 316-nucleotide long non-coding RNA. RefSeq lists it as uncharacterized. The transcript has 3 exons. The record is from RefSeq and is a predicted model, not a curated record. NCBI's taxonomy places the organism in Eukaryota, Metazoa, Arthropoda, Insecta, Diptera, Drosophilidae.